GGUGCCCGAAACAUUAUUAAGAAGGAAGGUAAAUGGUCUAGAAGAAAAACUCAAUCUAGCUGUUAUAUCAUGAAAAUAUUCAAAUAAACAAAAAGGAAGUGGCAGACCUAUAAAGUUUUGAGGAAAAGGAGAAUUGGGCAUCUUUCCGGUAAACUCAAGUACACUGCUAAAAUCACAUCCAUUAAAAACAAUAGAGAAUCCUUGGAAAAAGGAAAUUUGGUGAACAAAAUAGGCCAACCAAUAAAUCCAAGAUUCCGCUAGAAGUCACCAUCUAUUAAAAAUAAGAAACCACAGAGUGAAUGUAAACCUUCAAGCAUAAAAUCUCUCCCCUAAACUGAAAUGGAAGAAGCUUGUUGAAUUUCAACUCAAAAUAACAAGCCAACUAAACAUGCUUGAUGCGUUUAAAUAUGUAACCCCCCC
This 420-nucleotide long non-coding RNA is filed under the name Olea europaea subsp. europaea. The record is from RNAcentral. Lineage: Eukaryota; Viridiplantae; Streptophyta; Magnoliopsida; Lamiales; Oleaceae.